AGUAAUGCUUGGGAAUCUAGCUUAUGGAGGGGGAUAACUACGGGAAACUGUAGCUAAUACCGCGUAGAAUCGGAAGAUGAAAGUGCGGGACCGCAAGGCCGCAUGCCAUGAGAUGAGCCCAAGUGGGAUUAGGUAGUUGGUGGGGUAAAGGCCUACCAAGCCUGCGAUCUCUAGCUGGUCUGAGAGGAUGGCCAGCCACACUGGAACUGAGACACGGUCCAG
This 222-nucleotide ribosomal RNA is filed under the name uncultured bacterium. Its description in RNAcentral is "partial 16S ribosomal RNA". It matches the Rfam family "Bacterial small subunit ribosomal RNA", at positions 109 to 334 of the family's 1533-position model. The record is from RNAcentral.